GCAAUAAGAAGAAGUGGAGUCCAUCUCUCGCUCUCUCGCUCUCUCGCUCUCUUUCUCUCUCUUUCUCUCUCUCUCUCUCUCUCUCUCUCUAACUAUCUCUCUGACCAGCUUUAGCGACGGGGCAGUUUUGCGUAAAAGCCGGCGAUUUCCAAUCUCUCCGUAUGAAUUAAAACACACACGCACACUCACACACACACACAUUCAGAUAAGCUCGUGACGUUUCCAGGAGGAUUGUGGUAAGUGCAUGAAUAUGAUUUGUCUUUAAUAAUACUGCAGUAAAAGCAGAGAGUGUGUGUAGGACUUGAUCAAGUGAAGUGGUUUGGAUUGCGAAUGCCUUACGCACUCCGUAGUGUACCGAUUCUUCAUUUUGACUUAUUUUAAGUAGUGUGUACAUCGUUUGCAGUAAAUAAACAGCAUAAUAAACCAGCAACUGUAUGGAAUGGCUUAUUUAAUUUCUUAUCUACAUGCUAAUUGGAGUAUAUACUAAGAGAACUUUUAACUUUUAUGGACAGAGAUUAAGCCUAAUCGUAGAUUUUAUUUUUCUUUCAGCGGACAACUUUCAUUCAAAAUGCUGUGCAGUCCAAGACUAGGCUUAAUCGAUGUCCGAGAAACUGACGCAAAUAGUUCAGACUAGACUACUUAAUUAUUAUCAGAUCUAAACAAAAUGUAAAUAAACACAAUAUAUAAACAUAACUUAAAGGGUAACACAUAGUUGUUUUUUUCUAAUAAGCCUAGACAAAUAGAAUAGUUUAAUUCCAAUACUUUGCUACACUGUGGUAGUCUGUGCUUUAAAGUUUUAACCAGUCCCAACUUUCUUGAGAAGAUUACAAACGGCUUAGCAUUGGUUUUUGGGGGACUAGUUUCCAGUGAGGAGUAAAGUAAACAGGCACAGUAUGAAGGGAAGCUAUCCGGCGAAGCCUAAGAUGACAUUAAGGGGUGGUAAAAUUUCAUCUGGUGGUGUCAGAUUGAGGUCAGUUUAGGGUUAAAGCUCUCGGUGUCGGUGUGGGACAUGCCCAGCUGCGUUUGGAUUCAUUAGGGGGCAGAGGAUCCAUUUCAAGUAAAACAGGGAGACAAUCCCGAGCCUAUGAAGCCUUUCAUAUCCUGCAUUAUACUUCCUAUUGUAGCAAACAACUGUAGCCUAUGUAGUAAUGGUCACAUAGUCCUGCGUCUAGAGGUCAGUUAUUAAAUAAAACAUUAAAAUCACACGCAGGGUUCAUUCAAAUUAAUGACUUUAUCUAGUUUAGAGAGAACAUUAAAGAGCAAACCUAACAUUAAUCGUGGCAGUCUAACUAAAUGUAGAACAGGUUGUAAUUUUGGUUUUCUAAAGUAAUUAAUUAAUUAAUUCAUUCAUUCAUUCUUAUUUUAAAGGACAAUAUUAACACAUUGUUUUGAGCGCAAGCUCCAAUGGAAUCAGACAUUUUUUACACAUUAAAAAUAAAAUACAAUUGUACGUUUAAUAGUUAUUUUUGAAUGAACUAAAUCUUGUUUAUUCUUUAUUUUUUAAAUUAUGCAAUCAUCUAAAUUACCUAAUUAAAGUGAACUCUCUGUGACCUGCAGUGAAACGGUUCUGGCUCUCUGCUACUUAAACACUAGGAAAACUUUUCACGUCUAACUGUAAAUUCUUCAGUCUGUAUGGCAUUUGUUACUUCCAGUGUAGAGUAUGGAUCAGUAAAGUAAGAAUGUGUGUGUGUAGUGGUCGGCUGGGGUACAGAGUGUAUCGCCGUUUCCAGAGAAUAGUUAAAAUAUCUUUGUGAGGAUUUUCUUUUUGCUGGGCCUGCUGGGUUAAAUAUGCGGCGCUUUAGCGCCAUCUGGCGGAAAGCAGCCCGGAUUUCACUUAAAGCCGCUUCGUGUUGCAGAUUAAUCAGACCGGGUACAGAAAACGGAAUCGCGUAAAGGAAAAACAAAAUUCCGAUUCAAAUAGCAUUUUAUAGCGCUACCGAAAUCUAUAAUAAUAAUAAUAAUAAUAAUAAUAAUAAUAAUAAUAAUAAUAAUAAUAAUAAUAAUAAUAAUAAUAACAUACAGACAAUAAAUAGUUGGUUAUGGUUUAUAUGGCCAGGAAAACAAUGCUGUAUUUUCGCUAAUUCUGUCAUUUUAAUAAAAAAAAAAAACAUUUGGAUAUUCUCCAAUAUUUGCGCUUUAGUAUCUAAAAUCUUGAUUCUGUACAGUUAAGUUUAAGGUUCACGUUGCCCGCGGCUGCCUCGGUGGAUUUUUUCUGUUUUCUACAAAUAAAUUCAUUGUUUUAUAAAAAAAAAACAGCUUUACAUAGCUUUACAUUUUAGCAUUAAUUCAGCGCUACAAAUAACCUUAAUUCGUUAUUAAAAAUAAUUAAUUACAAUAGUCACAAAUAAUAAUGUACAAAAUACAACAAUACUACUACUAUUACUACUACUAACAAUAUUAUUAUUAUUAUUAUUAUUAUUAUUAUUAUUAUUAUUAUUAUGAGUAUUAUUGUUAUUAUUAUUAUUUAUAUUAUUAUUAUUAUUAUUAUUAUUAUUAAUAAUAAUAAUAAUAAUAAUAUUAAUACUUUUUACUGAACUUUUAAAUAACAUUUUUACAUUUGUAUAUUGUCCAACACCGGAGUUAUUUCAAACAAACAACAACAACUGAAAAACAUAUCUUUAUCUAAUUGAUUUAAAUAAAUUACAUCCAGCGAAUCUUUUUAAUUAAUGUUUAUAACAAUAAGGAAAAAAAAUCCUUGUAAAUCUAAACAGCGAAAACUGUGUUUUUUAACUCUGUAGACGAGAUUAAGUCUAUCAUUUUUUCUCCUGUUUGCUGUCAGAGCUAUUUCUUGUUUACUUCAGUGUGGAAACAGCGGACUUAAAUGUAAAAUUAUUUGUAGCGGUUUAAGUGUAUAUCACAUUCUAGAAGAGGGCGGCCGUGUCCCCUCAGCUCGGCUGUGCCCCGGGGUGGCUUCAGCAGCAGCAUUAGUCUGUUUUAAUUCCGCUCAUACUGGCCCGUUUCUCCUCCAGAGCGAAGCAGAUAAUGAUGGUGAAUAGGAGAAGAGUGCAGCAGUGAAGUGGCCCCGGCGCUCUGUUCCGCGCUCUCUGAGCCAUUACAACACGACUCCCGUAAUCUCCGUUAACUCUAAUCACCUCUAAUGUAAAAGGCGCUCAGCUACAAUGAACCAUCAGGUCCAGAAUAAGUGCAUUUACAAACGAAGUGAUGCCUCCCACUACUUUUCCUGACCUCUUCAUUUAUUAAAUAAAUAUCACUUAGUGCAUAAUUACAGCUACAAUUUUGAGGAGCAUCUGAAGAGCAUCUCAGGAGCAUGUGACUGCUUAUUUCAUACAGCCCAAAUUAAAGGUUUGAAUCCCACUUGCUUGUUUGAAAUGUAUUUAAACAAAUGCUGUUGCCAUGUUUGUUCGUGUUUUGUUUUCCAUGUUUUUUUCCUGUCUAAGUGUUUCCCCCUUGGUUCUGGAAGAGUUCACACGAUCAAGCAAGGCACCCAGGUAAUUACCGCGCAUUGUCAAAUAAAGGGACUGCUGAUUCAAAUGAGGAGUGAAAUAUCAAAGAAAAGUGUUCCCUUUGCAGCCAGCCACUUAUCCACACAGGAGACAGCAGUGAGACGACUGCCACAGGGACACUCACAGAGGCUCUGACAACAGACAGCCUUAGAUUCCUUGGUAAAUAUUAGACCCCACAAUAUUUUGCACACAAGCAGACGACGUGUGAAGCUUUGCACUGUACACCUCCCUGGCCAUGCACGGUGCUAAAAAGAGAAUGCCUCAUUUCUGAAAAAACUCAGACCUUCUCUGCACUCAGACAAGCUCAUAAUUUAGUCUCGGCUGUAUGGUGAGAUACUCCAUAGGUAUUGUGCGCAACAUAGGGCCUUAAAGAGAAUAAAGCCCAAGUGAAAUAAUUUAAACUGGCAUAUGGUUGUUUACUGGUAAUUUGUUUGUACAGAAUACUGCUUGGGUUUAAACUCUAGAAAUAUGUUCACCUUUACCACCUGAAAUGCAAGUUUGGGAUAUGAAGACAUAAGGUAUAACUUGUGGAUAAGCACUUUAUUUAAACUGAUAUAAUGGUUUUUUUUUUAUUAUUAUUAUUUGUGUCUCUCAUCUCCUCAAAAAAAAAUAUCCCAUGUUUAGCAAAGGUGGUCUCUAUGGAAAUGCUUAGAUUUCUUCUUUUCUGAGAUUUGGGACUUGCCUCUUUGGAGAAAAGAGGGUCUUACUGGAGAUGCAUCAGCAGUCAUUUGUCCAACAAGUACAAGUUGCAAAUGUUCACAUCGAGAUGCAGCCUUCGUCUAGCUGUAAUUUUCUUGGUUUGAUCUCACUGACGCUGGGAAAUGUACGAUUAUGACACAAUAAAAGAAAUACUUGCAAUGCCGUGGUUGGUGUGUGAAAUGGUUGGAGGCGAAAUUCAGACUGCAAGAAUGUGUGAGAGUUUAACAUUAUAAACACACUUCCCUCCCUCUAGCUUACAGACAGCUCCGAGGGAUACUUUACAUGUAAAUAUUCACUCAGCAAAAGGCCAGAUCAUUAAUUAUUGAGAGCCACAAAAAGUGUAAUACUUCAAUGUUUAACAUGUGCGUCUUAUAACUCAUUAGAUGAGGUUGAGGAUGAGCUGUGAGAAGGGGAAAGUAUUCCUUUCAAACAGUCUGAGAAUUAGCUUGAGAAAAACAAAAUGGAGGAGCUUCAGUUUAAUAGCACUGCUUUUCCAGUUUAGGAGAAACAAAUGAAGAUAUGUUAAGAUAAAAAAAAAUAUUCAAACUAAUAAAGCUUCAUUAAUAUUUUAGUUUAGUCUCAGGCUUUGGUCUGGACUAUUUUUAUGAUAAAAUAAAAAAUAAUCACUGCUUAGGGUCUUUCCACUUAUUCCUCCAAGUGUUUCACAUAAUAAGUAUUAUAAACAUUUGAGUUUAAUAAUAAUGACAGUAGUCUGUUUUAAUCAGAACUGUUGUAAUAAAGUAUUUUUGUGAAAAAAAGACUCUCAGUGUUGAUUAAUAAUUUAUAUAUGCUAAACCUGGCCAUACCUUUUAUGGAUGAAAAAAGGCAAGGUCCUAAUUUAAUGAGGAGAUAAAGGUAAUAUAUGGUAGUACUUGAAUAAAACAUCAUUUUAUUUUUUUAAAGAGUGGAAGAUACAAAAUGUGGCCAUAAUACUUGAUAAAGUUUCAUACUUGGGGAUAGUUUGUUGUCCAACUUUCCCAGUGAAUGGAGUCAGGCUGCAUUCUGGCACCCAUCAUCUUUGUUACACUAUGGCCUGUGGCUGAGCUCUUGACAGAUUGUCACAAGGUGAUAGAACUCAAGUGGAGACACUAGAAGGGUGGCACUUAGAGCACAAGAAGAUUGACUUCUGGGUACACCAUGCAGGAUCAACCCUUUAAAGAGUACCAUCCCACUGGCGUGAGUGGAAUGUGGCAGAAAUGAACAAUUGUAGUAACAACACUAACAUGCAAGAAGAACUGUAACUGAAGGAUCAAAUGUGUCCCUGAAAAUGUAGAUUUGCUUUUCAUCACACAGGUAAAGGUAUGAAUGAAAAAGGUUUGGUUCGGGUACACUGCAAGACAAGUAGGGUUCUAUAUAAACCCUUGUUGUUGAACCUUUUUGUAAUCUGCAAAAGGCUUUUCACCCAAUUAAAGAACAUUUUAAUUAAGCAAAGAA
This is a long non-coding RNA of Astyanax mexicanus (Mexican tetra), 5597 nucleotides long. RefSeq lists it as uncharacterized. The record is from RefSeq and is a predicted model, not a curated record. NCBI's taxonomy places the organism in Eukaryota, Metazoa, Chordata, Actinopteri, Characiformes, Acestrorhamphidae. The transcript has 2 exons.